Molecule: unclassified non-coding RNA, 2857 nt
Filed under: uncultured fungus
Lineage: Eukaryota; Fungi
Description: sequence contains 18S rRNA gene, ITS1, 5.8S rRNA gene, ITS2, 28S rRNA gene
Source: RNAcentral
CGUUGGCGCGUGCGGUCGAAGACGAUGUGCUGCUGGUUCAUACGUGGGAGGGCCGGCCGCUCCCGCGCGAGCACGGCGGUCCCUGCCGCGUGAUCACGCCCAAGCUGUACGCCUGGAAAGGCGCCAAGUGGAUUCGGAAGAUCGAGUUCCUGGCCGAAGACCACAAAGGCUUCUGGGAAGUGCGCGGAUACUCGAACACCGCGGAACCCUGGUUCAACGAUCGCUAUUCGACAUGAUCGAACCAAUGCUGGCGUCGCUGGUCGAUGCACCUCUCAACGAUCCGCAACUGAUCUACGAACCCAAGUACGACGGCAUACGCGCCAUCGCCGAGAUCGAACCUCGAGGCGCCGUGCGCCUCUGGUCGCGUCUCGGGAAUGAAAAGACCGCGCAGUUUCCGGAGAUCGUCGCAGCCCUUAAAGAGUGGGCGCAGGGCCUGAAAGCGCCGCUCGUCAUCGACGGUGAAAUCGUCGCGCUGGACGGCAAGGGCAACCCGAGCGGAUUUCAACAACUCCAGGGCCGCAUCCACCUGACCGAAAAGCCUGCGGCCAACACAUCGUUGGCGCGAACAGCGUUCAUCGCCUUCGAUGCGUUGCGCGAGGGCCGCACCGAUCUGCGCGAACGUCCGCUUACCGAGCGCCGCGCGGCUUUGGAGCGUAUUUUCGCCAGCGCGCAGUCGUCCAUGUUGCGGAUCAGCGAAAGCGUCAGAGGUGAUGGCCAAAACCUGUAUAAGCGGGCUCUCGCCGAGGGCUGGGAAGGGCUGAUCGCGAAACAGGCCGACUCCCGGUAUCGAUCGGGCAAGCGGUCGCCGGACUGGCGCAAAGUAAAGAUCGUUCGCGAGCAGGAGUUCGUCAUCGGCGGAUGGACCGAGCCCCGCCAGACGCGGUCCUACUUCGGCGCUCUGCUGCUUGGCGUAUACGGAGACGGCUCGAGCCUCAGAGAUGAGCUCGUCUACGUGGGUCAUGUCGGCACUGGCUUUAACGAGAAGGAGCUCGCGCGAUUGAUGAAGCUCCUCAAACCAAUCGAGACGGCCCAAUGCCCGUUUCGCGAUCCUCCGAAGUCGAACGAGCGCCCGCACUGGGUGAAGCCGGCCCUGGUCGCUCAAGUCAAAUUCACAGAAUGGACGUCCGACGGCCGUCUGCGUCAUCCGGUGUAUCUCGGCCUCAGGGACGACAAGAAAGCGGAAGACGUGCGUCGAGAGCCCGAGAUCUCGAGAGUACGAUCAUCACCCUCGAGGAAGUCGGUUCGAAAUGCCCCGAACAGUGCCCGCGUGGCGACAGGUCCUGGCGCCGCCGAAUCGCGAAACGUCCGACGGCGUACGGUGCAACCGUCGGGGCCCGGUGGACCGACGCCGGACGCGAUCGCCAAGAUGCUCGAUCAGCUUCGUGCGCUCGAGACCAGCCGUCGCGACGGCAGCCUCGAGCUUCCUGACGGCGAUCGGCUGAGCGUCACGAACCUGCACAAGGUGUUCUGGCCGAAACAGAAGCUCACCAAAGGGGACCUCCUGCGUUAUUACGUCCAGGCCUCCCCUUUCAUCCUUCCGGCCGUUCAGGAUCGGCCGCUGACGAUGAAGCGGUUGCCCAACGGCAUUACAGGAAAGACGUUCUAUCAACAUCGAGCGCCGGACGAGGUGCCGGCGAACGUCCGGGUGGAACCUGUCCCCGGCGAAAAGACGGUCCCCACGCGGCUCAUCGGCGGGAACUUGAAGACGUUGCUGUACAUGACGCAGCUCGCGGCCAUCUCCCAGGAUCCCUGGUUUUCCCGGAUCACGUCUCCCUACGCCGCCGACCACGUCGCGUUCGAUCUCGAUCCUGCAACGGGUGUGCGCUUUGAACGGGUGCUCGACGUCGCGCGUUGGAUCCGGGAUGAACUUCAGACUGUCGGGGCAGUCGGUUUCCCGAAAACGUCUGGUGCCGAUGGCCUUCACGUCUACAUUCCACUCCCUCCAGACACACCUUACGAGGCCGGCCUGAUCUUCUGUCAGAUCAUCGCCACCAUCGUCGUGCAGAAGCACCCAAAGAUCGCGACGAUCGAAAGAAGCGUGAAGGCGCGAGGCCAGCGCGUGUACAUCGACUGUCUGCAGAACAUCGCCGGCAAAACGCUGGCGAUGGCCUACAGCGCGCGUGCCAGCACGUAUGCCGGCGUUUCCACGCCUCUGAGCUGGGAUGAAGUUGAACAGGGUGUUCGACGCGAAGACUUCACGAUCGAAACGAUGCCUGAGCGCCUCAAGAAGGUCGGAGACCUAUGGAAAGGCCUCCGAACAUCGAAGGGGAUCGACCUCUCUCGUGUGACGGCGUUCACGACGGACAAAGGGAGAAAAGGGCGGACGAGAUAAGGAAUUCCAGGGUUCGAAGACCUCUGGUUAGGCGCGCCACGGGCGCGCCCGCCGGAGCGGAGCAGGGUGUUGGGGCCCCUGCGAGCGACGGCGUAGGGGGGUCCGCGGGGGCGAAGCCCCCCGGAUCUUAUAAGUCGAACUUCAGGACGACAAUCGUCGAAUCGUCAGGCAGCGGGCCAUUCGCCCGUCGCGACACUUCGUCCAGCAGGUCAUUGCAGAUGUCGGCAGCGCUCUUGUCCCACAGCCGACGUGCCAUCUCCUGUAUACCCCCGACGUCGAAGAACUCCUCGGGCGUCGGGCCGACAUCCGUGACGCCGUCCGUAAACAGCACCAGGCCGUCGCCGCGGCCGAAUACGGCGUAGGCUUCGCGCAUCGGCGUCACGUUCGGAAAUCCCAAAACCGACCCGGUGACGGCCAGCGUCUCACACUCUCCAUUCGCGCGCAUGAGCAAAGGCGGUGGAUGACCGGCGUUGGCAUACACCAUACGCCGUUCGCUGACGUCAACGAUGCCGUAGAACGCCGUGA